GAUGAACGCUGGCGGCGUGCCUAAUACAUGCAAGUCGAGCGAACGGACGAGAAGCUUGCUUCUCUGAUGUUAGCGGCGGACGGGUGAGUAACACGUGGAUAACCUACCUAUAAGACUGGGAUAACUUCGGGAAACCGGAGCUAAUCCCGGAUGAUAUUUUGAACCGCAUGGUUCAAAAGUGAAAGACGGUCUUGCUGUCACUUAUAGAUGGAUCCGCGCUGCAUUAGCUAGUUGGUAAGGUAACGGCUUACCAAGGCAACGAUGCAUAGCCGACCUCUGAGAGUGAUAGGCCGCCCUGGAGCGGAGACACGGUCCAUGCUCCUGCGGGAGGCAGCAGUAGGGUACCUUCCGCAAUGGUCGAAAACCUUACGGAGCAACGCCGCGUGAGUUGUGACGGUCUUCCGAGCGUGAAGCUCUGUUAUGAGGGAAGAACAUAUGUGUACGUAACUGUGCACAGCGUGACGGUACCUAAUCAGAAAGCCACGGCUAACUACGUG
RNAcentral lists this ribosomal RNA (497 nucleotides) under uncultured bacterium. RNAcentral describes it as "partial 16S ribosomal RNA". It matches the Rfam family "Bacterial small subunit ribosomal RNA", at positions 28 to 507 of the family's 1533-position model. The record is from RNAcentral.